This 1444-nucleotide ribosomal RNA is filed under the name uncultured organism. Its description in RNAcentral is "SSU rRNA". It matches the Rfam family "Bacterial small subunit ribosomal RNA". The record is from RNAcentral.
CGCUAUCUACAGGCUUAACACAUGCAAGUCGAGGGGCAGCAUUUUAGUUUGCUUGCAAACUGAAGAUGGCGACCGGCGCACGGGUGAGUAACACGUAUCCAACCUGCCGAUAACUCCGGAAUAGCCUUUCGAAAGAAAGAUUAAUACCGGAUAGCAUACGAAUAUCGCAUGAUAUUUUUAUUAAAGAAUUUCGGUUAUCGAUGGGGAUGCGUUCCAUUAGUUUGUUGGCGGGGUAACGGCCCACCAAGACUACGAUGGAUAGGGGUUCUGAGAGGAAGGUCCCCCACAUUGGAACUGAGACACGGUCCAAACUCCUACGGGAGGCAGCAGUGAGGAAUAUCGGUCAAUGGGCGAGAGCCUGAACCAGCCAAGUAGCGUGAAGGAUGAAGGCUCUAUGGGUCGUAAACUUCUUUUAUAUGGGAAUAAAGUUUUCCACGUGUGGAAUUUUGUAUGUACCAUAUGAAUAAGGAUCGGCUAACUCCGUGCCAGCAGCCGCGGUAAUACGGAGGAUCCGAGCGUUAUCCGGAUUUAUUGGGUUUAAAGGGAGCGUAGGUGGAUUGUUAAGUCAGUUGUGAAAGUUUGCGGCUCAACCGUAAAAUUGCAGUUGAAACUGGCAGUCUUGAGUACAGUAGAGGUGGGCGGAAUUCGUGGUGUAGCGGUGAAAUGCUUAGAUAUCACGAAGAACUCCGAUUGCGAAGGCAGCUCACUAGACUGUCACUGACACUGAUGCUCGAAAGUGUGGGUAUCGAACAGGAUUAGAUACCCUGGUAGUCCACACAGUAAACGAUGAAUACUCGCUGUUUGCGAUAUACAGUAAGCGGCCAAGCGAAAGCAUUAAGUAUUCCACCUGGGGAGUACGCCGGCAACGGUGAAACUCAAAGGAAUUGACGGGGGCCCGCACAAGCGGAGGAACAUGUGGUUUAAUUCGAUGAUACGCGAGGAACCUUACCCGGGCUUAAAUUGCAACAGAAUAUAUUGGAAACAGUAUAGCCGUAAGGCUGUUGUGAAGGUGCUGCAUGGUUGUCGUCAGCUCGUGCCGUGAGGUGUCGGCUUAAGUGCCAUAACGAGCGCAACCCUUAUCUUUAGUUACUAACAGGUUAUGCUGAGGACUCUAGAGAGACUGCCGUCGUAAGAUGUGAGGAAGGUGGGGAUGACGUCAAAUCAGCACGGCCCUUACGUCCGGGGCUACACACGUGUUACAAUGGGGGGUACAGAAGGCGGCUACCUGGUGACAGGAUGCUAAUCCCAAAAACCUCUCUCAGUUCGGAUCGAAGUCUGCAACCCGACUUCGUGAAGCUGGAUUCGCUAGUAAUCGCGCAUCAGCCAUGGCGCGGUGAAUACGUUCCCGGGCCUUGUACACACCGCCCGUCAAGCCAUGAAAGCCGGGGGUACCUGAAGUACGUAACCGCAAGGAGCGUCCUAGGGUAAAACUGGUAAUUGGGGC